Oryza sativa Japonica Group (Japanese rice) is the source of this 460-nucleotide long non-coding RNA. RefSeq lists it as uncharacterized. NCBI's taxonomy places the organism in Eukaryota, Viridiplantae, Streptophyta, Magnoliopsida, Poales, Poaceae. The record is from RefSeq and is a predicted model, not a curated record.
CCCGAGGACUCGAGGAGUGGAGAGGGGGAGGAGCCACGGUGAUGUUGUGGUCGCUCGCCGAGUCGCCGUUGUCUGCAGCUUCUGGAAAGAAAUCAAGAUCUUGGAUUAUUGCCUUAAGCGAGGAAAAGGGAAAAGUAUACAGGUCUGAUCUUUGUUGAUCUUGCACUUACCUUGGUGGUUACAUGCAUUUUGGGGUGUGCCUUUGGCGAUUUUGAACAGGCCUAGAUAUAUUGCUUUGCUAUGUUGACGUUUAUUAGAGUAGAUAAUUGUAUUUCUCGUAAUGUGGAAAUGGCAAAGAUUAUGUAUUGCUACAAAAUUGUAUAGUUGCUCUUCCCAAUUCCAUGUACAAGGCAUUUCUCAUUGAAUGGCAAGAUCAUGUAUUGCUGGAACGUGAUCAAGGAAACUAUUGAUCACUGUGUGAUAGCAUAUUGAAUUAAUAGAAACUCCAUGCGCAGAACUA